Molecule: transfer RNA, 65 nt
Filed under: Coleoptera sp. 29 KM-2017
Lineage: Eukaryota; Metazoa; Arthropoda; Insecta; Coleoptera
Description: tRNA-Pro
Source: RNAcentral
CAGGAAAUAGUUUAUAUAAAAUUUUAAUUUUGGAGAUUAAAGAAAGGCAAUUAGCUUUUUCCUGA